GGGUCAGUAGGUUGGUCGUGCCACCGGUACGUACUGGUCUCACUGACUCCUCCUUCCUGAAGAACCGUAAUGCCAUUAAUUUGGUGUUGCGGGGAAACAGGACUGUUACUUUGGAAAAAUUAGAGUGUUUAAAGCAAGCUAACGCUUGAAUACAUUAGCAUGGAAUAAUGAAAUAGGACGAUCGAUCCUAUUUUGUUGGUUUCUAGGAUUGACGUA
Molecule: ribosomal RNA, 216 nt
Filed under: Glomeromycotina sp.
Lineage: Eukaryota; Fungi; Glomeromycota
Description: partial small subunit ribosomal RNA
Rfam family: Eukaryotic small subunit ribosomal RNA (bases 75-216)
Source: RNAcentral